This is a small nucleolar RNA of Kluyveromyces lactis, 237 nucleotides long. The record is from RefSeq and is a predicted model, not a curated record. NCBI's taxonomy places the organism in Eukaryota, Fungi, Ascomycota, Saccharomycetes, Saccharomycetales, Saccharomycetaceae.
CGAAAGAACUUCAAAACAUUUAACGAUGAUGAAAACGGUCUACACUUCUUUCCCAGUCCGAUAUCGACCAUGACGAUAUGGGAGUCUACCAUGUUGUUGUCUUACGGGGCAACGACUUUUUAAGCCAGUACAUGCUUUGACAUGUACAAUUUAGAUCAUCUGAGUUUUCUCUUUUUAGUUUUCUUAAGGUCAAAGUAACAGUGAAACAAGAUCCAUCGUCGUAUCUUCUGUUGCAUU